Long non-coding RNA from Poecilia latipinna (sailfin molly), 1000 nucleotides. RefSeq lists it as uncharacterized. The record is from RefSeq and is a predicted model, not a curated record. The transcript is spliced from 2 exons. Lineage: Eukaryota; Metazoa; Chordata; Actinopteri; Cyprinodontiformes; Poeciliidae.
GUUGUAGCUGAGUGGAGCUCCGCCAAUGUAUCCUGUUUACUUUGAUCACCAAAGUGCAACCAAAUUUUCUUCUGUGUUUGUGAGAUAUCUCCGGUGGAACUGGCAGAGCAGACCCAGCUCUACGUCAUGAUGAUCACAGUCAGGAGCGUGCUGAGGGAGAGUUUUGAUUAAGUGAAUUAAAGCGAAGCACAGCUCUGGCAGACGGCACAGGCAUGCUGUCCUGGGGGAAAAAUGGAGGUUUCUGGCAGCAUUUUCAAGAACAACAAAACAACAAUUGUUCUUCCCGCUUCGCUCUGCUGUUGGAUUCAUUGACGACAGAUCAAAUGUACGUUGGUGGUCUGGAACAUUAACAAAUCCCCUUAAUUAUAUCCAUCAAAACGCAGGAAGUAUCAGGGGGAAGUGAUCUCUCAUUUAGUGAGUUUCUGAGUUACUCUGAACCUGCUGUGACGACGUCUGUGAGGCUGCAACGAUUCAAGAGCUGGCGCUUCCUCCAGGAGAGGGAAUUCAUUUAUUUAGGCAUUUUAAAACGGAGAAGUUUCAGACAUCCGACUAGAAAUACGUUUUUAUGUUACGAGAUCUAACAAAAAACCAGGCCAGCACUCAGUUGAGAGUUUAGUUAUGAAGAACACUUUCAUAGAGAAUUCAUACCUGAAAGUUUAUCCAGUCCUUUAACUUUGGCAGAAUAUUUGUACUUGUCCAUAUUAUGUUCAGUUUCCAGCAUUUGAUGUUUGAUGUCAUAUGUAUGUGUUAUUAUCCGACUCAUCAGGAUGUGCAGGUUUCUACAGCUUUGCAAAAAAUGUUGAGGCGAUCUAAGAAUGCAUUGCAGCAAUUUCCUAAACAUAUUUUUUAACUAAUUUAUUUAACUAAAACUUCAAGUAAAUGAUGCAUUUUUGGAGGAAAUUAGAACAAGUUGUUGAGGCAGCAGCUGUUUUUUUACUGUAUAAAUGACUGUAGCCAGACAGCAGCUAGAAGUGCAAUAAAAAACACUUUGCAACAAAAA